Molecule: ribosomal RNA, 253 nt
Filed under: uncultured bacterium
Lineage: Bacteria
Description: partial 16S ribosomal RNA
Rfam family: Bacterial small subunit ribosomal RNA
Source: RNAcentral
UGCGGAGGAUGCAAGCGAUAUCCGGAAUGAUUGGGCGUAAGGCGUCCUCAGGUGGUUGGGUGUGUCUAUUGUCAAAGCAUCAUGCUUAACAUGAUAAAGGCAGUAGAAACUACACGACUAGAGUGCGUUCGGGGCAGAGGGAAUUCCAGGUGCAGCGGUGAAAUGCGUAGAGAUCAGGAAGAACACCGGUGGCGAAAGAGCUCUGCUAGGACGCAACUGACACUAAGUGAAGUAAGCUAGGGGAGCGAAUGGG